Molecule: ribosomal RNA, 460 nt
Filed under: uncultured bacterium
Lineage: Bacteria
Description: partial 16S ribosomal RNA
Rfam family: Bacterial small subunit ribosomal RNA
Source: RNAcentral
CCUACGGGAGGCAGCAGUGAGGAAUAUUGGUCAAUGGACGAGAGUCUGAACCAGCCAAGUCGCGUGAAGGAUGACUGCCCUACGGGUUGUAAACUUCUUUUAUCUGGGAAUAAAAUGUUCCACGUGUGGGAUUUUGUAUGUAACAUAUGAAUAAGGAUCGGCUAAAUCCGUGCCAGCAGCCGCGGUAAUACGGAGGAUCCGAGCGUUAUUCGGAUUUAUUGGGGUUAAAGGGAGGGUAGAGGGGUUGUUAAGUCAGGUGUGAAAGUUUGCGGGUCAACCGUAAAAUUGCAAUUGAUACUGGCAGUCUUGAGUAGAGGUGAGGAAGGCGGAAUUCGUGGUGUAGCGGUGAAAUGCUUAGAUAUCACGAAGAACUCCGAUUGCGAAGGCAGCUUACUAAACUGCCACUGACGUUGAGGCUCGAAAGUGUGGGUAUCGAACAGGAUUAGAUACCCCAGUAGUC